CUGUGAUGGGGAGAAGACAUUGUGUCUUCGAGUCGUUGAUUUCACACUGCCGAGAAAAGCCUCUAGAUAGAAAAUAGGUGCCCGUACCGCAAACCGACACAGGUAGUCAAGAUGAGAAUUCUAAGGUGAGCGAGCGAACUCUCGUUAAGGAACUCGGCAAAAUGACCCCGUAACUUCGGGAGAAGGGGUGCUCUUUAGGGUUAACGCCCAGAAGAGCCGCAGUGAAUAGGCCCAAGCGACUGUUUAUCAAAAACACAGGUCUCUGCUAAACCGUAAGGUGAUGUAUAGGGGCUGACGCCUGCCCGGUGCUGGAAGGUUAAGAGGAGUGGUUAGCUUCUGCGAAGCUACGAAUCGAAGCCCCAGUAAACGGCGGCCGUAACUAUAACGGUCCUAAGGUAGCGAAAUUCCUUGUCGGGUAAGUUCCGACCCGCACGAAAGGCGUAACGAUUUGGGCACUGUCUCAACGAGAGACUCGGUGAAAUCAUAGUACCUGUGAAGAUGCAGGUUACCCGCGACAGGACGGAAAGACCCCGUGGAGCUUUACUGUAGCCUGAUAUUGAAAUUCGGCACAGCUUGUACAGGAUAGGUAGGAGCCUUUGAAACGUGAGCGCUAGCUUACGUGGAGGCGCUGGUGGGAUACUACCCUAGCUGUGUUGGCUUUCUAACCCGCACCACUUAUCGUGGUGGGAGACAGUGUCAGGCGGGCAGUUUGACUGGGGCGGUCGCCUCCUAAAAGGUAACGGAGGCGCUCAAAGGUUCCCUCAGAAUGGUUGGAAAUCAUUCAUAGAGUGUAAAGGCAUAAGGGAGCUUGACUGCGAGACCUACAAGUCGAGCAGGGUCGAAAGACGGACUUAGUGAUCCGGUGGUUCCGCAUGGAAGGGCCAUCGCUCAACGGAUAAAAGCUACCCCGGGGAUAACAGGCUUAUCUCCCCCAAGAGUUCACAUCGACGGGGAGGUUUGGCACCUCGAUGUCGGCUCAUCGCAUCCUGGGGCUGUAGUCGGUCCCAAGGGUUGGGCUGUUCGCCCAUUAAAGCGGUACGCGAGCUGGGUUCAGAACGUCGUGAGACAGUUCGGUCCCUAUCCGUCGUGGGCGUAGGAAAUUUGAGAGGAGCUGUCCUUAGUACGAGAGGACCGGGAUGGACAUACCUCUGGUGUACCAGUUGUCGUGCCAACGGCAUAGCUGGGUAGCUAUGUGUGGACGGGAUAAGUGCUGAAAGCAUCUAAGCAUGAAGCCCCCCUCAAGAUGAGAUUUCCCAACUUCGGUUAUAAGAUCCCUCAAAGAUGAUGAGGUUAAUAGGUUCGAGGUGGAAGCAUGGUGACAUGUGGAGCUGACGAAUACUAAUCGAUCGAAGACUUAAUCAA
RNAcentral lists this ribosomal RNA (1362 nucleotides) under Staphylococcus aureus. RNAcentral's name for it is "partial 23S ribosomal RNA". It matches the Rfam family "Bacterial large subunit ribosomal RNA", at positions 1560 to 2925 of the family's 2925-position model. Lineage: Bacteria; Bacillati; Bacillota; Bacilli; Caryophanales; Staphylococcaceae. The record is from RNAcentral.